UCAAAGUCUACAGGAAUUAAACCAAUCUUAUAAAGGAAGAGAAAAAAGAUUGAUGAGAGAGAAAGUAGAGAGAUGUUCUCCACCACCCCUUUUGAAUCUUGAUAUUCUUGGAUCAAUUCUUCCCCUUCUUCAUUCUCUUCUUCAAUUUCUUCUCCUUUCUUUUUCUUCUUCCCCCUCCAUCUCCAUCUUCAAUGGCUUUAAUUCCGGACGACAUUCUUGCAAUUUGCCCACAAGUAUGUGAAAUCAGAAACGUAGGUUUUCUUUCAAAUUUCCAAUGUCAAACAAUUAGGAACAACAUGAUUGUUCAGAGCACGAAUUGCGCAACAGAAAAUCUACAAGAAAGCACUCAAUUGAACAAGGGUGUGGAUAAGCCUAAUUAUGUGGCGGCGACUACAUCUUCCACGACGGUUGGGUCGGGUUUGCGCCUUGGUGGGGCGGCAUCCGCGGGUCUGGUACGGAACGCGCUGCAGUUCCAAGCGGCUACGGUGCAAAGGAGUGAUGCAGCGGCGCAG
RNAcentral lists this long non-coding RNA (512 nucleotides) under Lupinus mutabilis. RNAcentral's name for it is "partial ncRNA". Lineage: Eukaryota; Viridiplantae; Streptophyta; Magnoliopsida; Fabales; Fabaceae. The record is from RNAcentral.